UACGUAGGGUACGAGCGUUGUCCGGAAUUAUUGGGCGUAAAGGGCUCGUAGGCGGUUUGUCGCGUCGGGAGUGAAAACACACAGCUUAACUGUGUGCUUGCUUCCGAUACGGGCAGACUAGAGGUAUGCAGGGGAGAACGGAAUUCCUGGUGUAGCGGUGAAAUGCGCAGAUAUCAGGAGGAACACCGGUGGCGAAGGCGGUUCUCUGGGCAUUACCUGACGCUGAGGAGCGAAAGUGUGGGGAGCGAACAGG
This 253-nucleotide ribosomal RNA is filed under the name uncultured bacterium. Its description in RNAcentral is "partial 16S ribosomal RNA". It matches the Rfam family "Bacterial small subunit ribosomal RNA", at positions 524 to 776 of the family's 1533-position model. The record is from RNAcentral.